This 91-nucleotide transfer RNA is filed under the name Nesterenkonia cremea. Its description in RNAcentral is "tRNA-Ser". It matches the Rfam family "tRNA". From Rfam's summary of the family: Transfer RNA (tRNA) molecules are approximately 80 nucleotides in length. Lineage: Bacteria; Bacillati; Actinomycetota; Actinomycetes; Micrococcales; Micrococcaceae. The record is from RNAcentral.
GGAGCGUUGUCCGAGCGGCCGAAGGUGACAGUCUUGAAAACUGUUGUGCAGCGAUCCUGCACCGUGGGUUCGAAUCCCACACGCUCCGCCA